Molecule: transfer RNA, 88 nt
Filed under: Candidatus Nanosynbacter featherlites
Lineage: Bacteria; Bacillati; Minisyncoccota; Nanosynbacteria; Nanosynbacterales; Nanosynbacteraceae
Description: Candidatus Saccharibacteria bacterium oral taxon 957 tRNA-Val
Rfam family: tRNA
About the family: Transfer RNA (tRNA) molecules are approximately 80 nucleotides in length. Their secondary structure includes four short double-helical elements and three loops (D, anti-codon, and T loops).
Source: RNAcentral
GGACAUAUAGCUCUAAUCGGCAGAGCGCCCGCGUCGACAACGGUGUCGACGCAAUGGGAGGCUGCGGGUUCGAGUCCCGCUGUGUCCG